Molecule: long non-coding RNA, 1078 nt
Organism: Panthera uncia (snow leopard)
Lineage: Eukaryota; Metazoa; Chordata; Mammalia; Carnivora; Felidae
Exons: 3
Source: RefSeq, a predicted model, not a curated record
UCCUCGCGCCCCCUCCCUUCGCGGUCACGGAGGUCUGGGGCCGGUGUCACCGGCUACCUGGUGGGAGGGGGCGCCCAGCGGGGUGUAGAGUCGGGGUCGCACCCGGAAACCCGCCGAACGCCCAUCUCCCACCUUCCCAAAGGCGUUUCGCGUGUUCUUUUUUCCCAGCCCGAGGUCGUUUUGCGUGGACACAGUAAGAGGCCGGCCGGCCCGCCCGAGGUCUACGGAGCAACAGGCGGUCAGGGCUCCGCCAGGGAAUCUGGAGAAGCAGGGGGCCACCUUCCCCAUCUUCCGAGCCACUCCCCGUUCAGAGUUACAUCGCGGGGUCUCGGGCCUUCAGGGGUCACUAAGCCAUGAGAUGGCCUCACCCUGAGGAAGGGGGUGGGCGGGCAGAAUGUUCCCAAGCCUGCUGGGUCCGGGAGCUCAUGGAGGAAAACGCAAGGUGCUGACCCAGCCUCCCAAAGAGUUUCACAGCAUUGUAAAUAUGCAAGGCUUGGAAAAAGAUUGAUUGAUACCUUCUACAGGGUGCUCUCAAUGGUAAGAAUCGGCCCCACCUGAAUGACCCCAACACCUAGAACGCCAAUAAUCCAACACAGAAGGAAGGCUCCCUCUGGCCCCCUUUCUCAUCAGAGCCCUGGGCCAUCAGACCCAGAAACUGAAGCUGAAACAGAACCAGAUCUACAAUCAGUUCUAGAGAAACAGCGGGAGGGCCAGGGAGCCUGUGCUCUCUCAAGACACCCUAAACAAUUGCUUCCUUGCAGCCUGGGCUCAAAGUGAAUUGAGCAGUGUCCUCUUCUGGUCGUGUGGCUACAAGAGAAGCUUGCUUCCUGAAAACAGGGAUGAUGGUAGGUGCUUCUCAAGGCUGGACGAUCAAAGGAAAUGAAAUGAAAUGAGAUUAAAAAGUGUCCGACAGAUGGCAGCUAUCACUAUUACCACCGUUAUUUUCAUUGGAAACGAAUGCCCUGAUGAAUCCGUGAGCUGGCCCGGAGACGCAGUCACGGAGAGGCUGCCUGUAGCAAACCUGGCUCCUUCUGCACCACUUGUAAGGAUGAAGCAAGUGACUCUCUCAAGGAUUCUA